This 253-nucleotide ribosomal RNA is filed under the name uncultured bacterium. RNAcentral's name for it is "partial 16S ribosomal RNA". It matches the Rfam family "Bacterial small subunit ribosomal RNA", at positions 524 to 776 of the family's 1533-position model. The record is from RNAcentral.
UACGUAGGCAGCGAGCGUUGUUCGGAGUUACUGGGCGUAAAGCGUGCGUAGGCGGUGGACCAAGUCUGGUGUGAAAUCUCCCGGCUUAACCGGGAGGGUGCGCCGGAAACUGGUUUGCUGGAGUACCGGAGAGGCAAGCGGAAUUCCAGGUGUAGCGGUGAAAUGCGUAGAUAUCUGGAGGAACACCCGUGGUGCAGACGGCUUGCUGGACGGUGACUGACGCUGAGGCACGAAAGCGUGGGUAGCAAACAGG